UCUGCUUCUUCAUAUUUAGUGUAAAUCCAAACAGCAACGCUCCUGAGUUUGUGUCCCACGUCACCUUCAGUCCGCUCAGAGCAGAGGAAUCAUUUCCAUAGAGAGGAGGCUUUGCAUCGUCAGCUGAUCCUCCACUGAACUGAGAAGCUUUAUAGUCCUGUGACUCCAACUCUGCAGGACUCAGACCCGUCAGUCCACCACAACCACCAUGACUCUCAUCACCCUCCUCAUCUGGACGCUGGCCUGCUGCAGCUUCACAGGAUGCAGCGGCCAGGUGACUGUGACUCAGCCUCCAGUCGUGACAUUUACUCCAGGAUCCACUGUCACACUGACCUGUAACACCAACCCCAGUGUUCAUAGGGAUGGUGCUGGUGAUGAUUGGCUGUCCUGGUACCAGCAGAAACCUGGACAGGCUCCACAGCUCCUAAUAUACUGGGCUAACAGGAUUCAAUCAGGAACACCAGCUCGGUUUAGUGGCAGUGGAAGCAGCUCUGACUUCUCUUUGACCAUCAGUGGAGUUCAGAGUGAAGAUGCAGCAGUUUAUUACUGUCAGAGUGUCCAUAAAGUAAACGGAGCAGAUGUGUCCACACAGUGAUUUAGAGCCGUACAAAAACCUCCCUCAGUUUGACUGAAGUGAAACUGGUCUGCUGCAGCUGCACAGAGAAUAACUGGUCCAGUGAACACAACACAAGUCUUCAAGCAGAGCGACAAUGACGCUAAACACAACUGAAACAAACUCACAGUUUAAAAUGUUUUGAAAUCUCCUAACAAAGCCCCAUGAAACAAACUUUGUCAAAUUUACAU
Pleuronectes platessa (European plaice) is the source of this 804-nucleotide non-coding RNA. Lineage: Eukaryota; Metazoa; Chordata; Actinopteri; Pleuronectiformes; Pleuronectidae. The record is from the annotation of a RefSeq genome assembly.